GACGAACGCUGGCGGCGUGCUUAACAAAUGCAAGUCGAACGGAAAGGCCCUGCUUCUGUGGGUUGCUCGACUGGCGCACGUGUGUGUAACACGUGAGUAACCUGCCCUUGACUUUGGGAUAACUUCAGGAAACUGGGGCUCCUCCCGGAUAGGAGCUCCUGCUCCAUGGUGGGGGUUGGAAAGUUUCGUCGGUGGGGGAUGGACUCGCGGCUUAUUAGCUUGUUGGGGGGGUAGUGGCUUACCAAGGCUUUGACGGGGAGCCGGCCUGAGUGGGUGACCGGCCACAUCAGGACGGAGAAAGGGCCCAGACUCAGACGGGAGGCAGCGGAGUGGAAGAUAGCAUAAGAGGAGGAAGUCUAAUGCAGCAACGCAGCGUGCGGUAUGACGGCCUGGGGGUAGUAAACUGCUUACGCCUGUGACGAAGAGUGAGGGACGGGAAUGGGUGAAGAAGCCCCGGCUAACUACGUG
RNAcentral lists this ribosomal RNA (468 nucleotides) under uncultured bacterium. RNAcentral describes it as "partial 16S ribosomal RNA". It matches the Rfam family "Bacterial small subunit ribosomal RNA", at positions 28 to 507 of the family's 1533-position model. The record is from RNAcentral.